This is a long non-coding RNA of Lytechinus pictus (painted urchin), 1454 nucleotides long. RefSeq lists it as uncharacterized. The record is from RefSeq and is a predicted model, not a curated record. NCBI's taxonomy places the organism in Eukaryota, Metazoa, Echinodermata, Echinoidea, Temnopleuroida, Toxopneustidae. The transcript is spliced from 3 exons.
CUUUAGCUUGCUGGUGUUGGGCUUAUAGCAAUCGGAGUAUGGGCAUGGCUAGAUAAGGGAUUCUUUGGUAAUGUAGGCACAUUUGUCACAUCAUGGUACCUGGAUCCUGUAUUAUGGUUUGCCCUUGUCGGUGUCAUCAUCUUCUUCAUGGCAACGUUUGGUUGCAUAGGUGCACUCAGAGAAAAUAUUUGCCUUCUAAAAACGGUAAGAAAAAAAUAUGUUGAGUUCAAACAUGAAUAAAUUGUCAUGUUGCUGCAGGAACGCCCUUAGCACCAUACUUUCGCGCAUUGUAUGUGUGCAGAAACACCCUUUUAUAGUUGCAUGCAUAAAGGCAUUGCGCAAGGGCGUUCCUGCACUGAUAGGGUGCGCGAAAGUGUGAUGCUAAGGGUCUACCUGCACCGACAUGACGAAAUCUAAAGUGUGAUUGCCUCCAUAGAGGCAAGGGACUUUUCUAUUGUUGCUAGGCAACAAGCAGCAAAGCCGAAUCGAAUUCAGUACAAAAAAAUAAUGGGAAAAUUUAGACAGGCUAGUGCAAAUUACUCUGCCCAGAGUUGCAAGGAAAAUCAUAUGACGUGAUUGCUUUUGUUGUUUUGAGGGAUUAUGGCACUCUCCCAUUGAUAAAGCACUGUAUCUUAAUAAAGCAUAGUGAUUAAUUUUGGGACUGCUUAUUACGAUUGAUCACACACAAUAAAGCAAUGCAAUCAGUCAUAGAAAACAGCCCUACAAUCAACACAGGGCUCAGAUGUUUGUAUGACACACGUCCUGACAUUAUGACAAUUAUUAUGUCGUCAUGAGAUUUUUCACAACUCUGGACCCUUCAGUGUGCCUUGACGCUCAUAAUGCAUUGAUCGAGUUGUCUCGCCAUAUCUUAAGAUGGUAAAAAAUGUUGGGGAUCUUCACCCGUCAGAUGUUAAUGUGAUUAUCCUACAUGUACUGUCCUAUCAAAAUCUACACAUAGGAUAUCGUGCACUUGUUUUCACAUUCAUACUUGACAUCUUCUCAAGUUGAAAGGAUUGUAUUUUUUCAGGGGCUGUCAGUUCUGGGGGUGUCGUGGUGUAGCGGUUAUGACUCUUGUCUUUCAAUCAGAGGGACAUGGGUUAGAAUCCCAGCCGUGGCAUGUUUUCUUUCAGCAAGAAAUUUACCCACAUUGUGCUGCACUCAGUGGAAUGGGUACCCAGUUGGAUCAGUUCCUUUAAUACCCUGAGCGCUGGAAGUGGAAGGCAGCUCGAGAUAAAGCUGGGGUGACAAUAUUAAUAAUAAUGCACCUCUGAAAUGAUUAUUUCUAGAUAGAUGGCGCUAUAAAAAUGCCAAUUAUUAUUUAUUAUUAAAGGAGAAUGAAACUCUUGGAGCAAGUUCGCUUUUGUGAAAGCAGAAAAAUCAAAGAAUAAGAUCAACAAAAGUUUGAUAAAUUGAUAUUGAUUUGUUUUUCAUUGAUUUGUACAUGUACAUGUACA